AAGAGAGUUGAGAAAAAGAAAAUAUUCUAAGUCUUUAACUAUAUUCACUAUACAAAGAGAGUUUUAAGGUGUUCUUAUGAUGGAGUUUUGAACUAUUCAACUAAUCCGGAGUCGCUUGAGUUGUACAUUGUUGAUGGGUUGUUGUAUCCUGGAUGGGACAAGUCAAGAGAUAUACAGCUGGAUCAAUGUAGAUUAUGCGACAGUGAGCUUGAAUCUCCUUAAAGAGAAUGGGAUAUCCGCG
RNAcentral lists this long non-coding RNA (241 nucleotides) under Capsicum annuum. Its description in RNAcentral is "long non-coding RNA (CANN_LNC008582)". The record is from RNAcentral. Lineage: Eukaryota; Viridiplantae; Streptophyta; Magnoliopsida; Solanales; Solanaceae.